AAGAUUUGCUCCGAUGGGAUAUGGGUAUAAAUGUCCCUCCGACUUGAGACCACCACGGUGACUUACAAGCAACUCACUGCACUUAGGCACUGGACUACCUGAAUUUCUAAUUCAGUGACGGAAGGUUGCUGGGUGUAGUCAAGUACUUGACUUGUCGGUGCGUAUGUCAAGAUGGGAUUGACCACUCCAGUUUAGGAGCUGUGUACAGUCGUAUUUCAAUUUAGCAAAAUCUUGGC
Molecule: long non-coding RNA, 236 nt
Filed under: Elaeis guineensis (African oil palm)
Lineage: Eukaryota; Viridiplantae; Streptophyta; Magnoliopsida; Arecales; Arecaceae
Description: long non-coding RNA (EGUI_LNC068834)
Source: RNAcentral